Molecule: ribosomal RNA, 459 nt
Filed under: uncultured bacterium
Lineage: Bacteria
Description: bacterial SSU rRNA
Rfam family: Bacterial small subunit ribosomal RNA
Source: RNAcentral
GCUGCACGGCUGUCGUCAGCUCGUGUCGUGAGAUGUUGGGUUAAGUCCCGCAACGAGCGCAACCCUCGUCCUUAGUUGCCAGCAGGUUAAGCUGGGCACUCUAAGGAGACUGCCUUCGUAAGGAGGAGGAAGGUGAGGACGACGUCAAGUCAUCAUGGCCCUUAUGGCUAGGGCUACACACGUGCUACAAUGGGGCGUACAGAGAGUUGCGAUACCGCGAGGUGGAGCCAAUCUCAUAAAGCGUCUCUCAGUUCGGAUAGAAGUCUGCAACUCGACUUCUUGAAGCUGGAAUCACUAGUAAUCGUAGAUCAGCAAUGCUACGGUGAAUACGUUCCCGGGUCUUGUACUCACCGCCCGUCACACCAUGGGAGUUGAUUUCACCCGAAAUUGGGAAGCUAACCUUCGGGAGGCUACCACUUACGGUGGAAUUAGCGACUGGGGUGAAGUCGUAACAAGGUA